CGGGAACUGAGGAUAAUGUUUCAUAAUUGAAUUGGCUUGGAAAAGUUUUUCAAUGAAAAGGAUAAAAAAAAUGGUUUUUAUCUGCUAUAGGAUAGGAUCGUGUUCGAUUAUGGUAGUUGGUGAGAUAAUGGCUCACCAAGCCGAUAAUCGAUAGGGGCCGUGAGAGCGGGAGCCCCGAGAUGGGUACUGAGACAACGACCCAGGCCUUACGAGGCGCAGCAGGCGCGGAACCUCCGCAAUACACGAAAGUGUGACGGGGUUACCCAAAGUGUUCAAUUUAGAACUGUGGUAGGUGAGUAAUGUCCCCUACUAGAAAGGAGAGGGCAAGGCUGGUGCCAGCCGCCGCGGUAAAACCAGCUCUUCAAGUGGUCGGGAUAAUUAUUGGGCUUAAAGUGUCUGUAGCCGGUUUAGUAAGUUCCUGGUAAAAUCGGGUAGCUUAACUAUCUGCAUGCUAGGAAUCCUGCUAUACUAGAGGGCGGGAGAGGUCUGAGGUACUACAGGGGUAGGGGUGAAAUCUUAUAACCCUUGUAGGACCACCAGUGGCGAAGGCGUCAGACUGGAACGCGCCUGACGGUGAGGGACGAAAGCCAGGGGAGCGAACCGGAUUAGAUACCCGGGUAGUCCUGGCCGUAAACGAUGCAUACUAGGUGAUGGUACGGCCAUGAGCCGUAUCAGUGCCGUAGGGAAACCGUUAAGUGUGCCGCCUGGGAAGUACGGUCGCAAGGCUAAAACUUAAAGGAAUUGGCGGGGGACACCCAAGGGUG
RNAcentral lists this ribosomal RNA (764 nucleotides) under uncultured archaeon. Its description in RNAcentral is "bacterial SSU rRNA". It matches the Rfam family "Archaeal small subunit ribosomal RNA", at positions 133 to 890 of the family's 1478-position model. The record is from RNAcentral.